CCUACGGGAGGCAGCAGUGGGGGAUAUUGCACAAUGGGGGGAACCCUGAUGCAGCGACGCCGCGUGGGUGAAGAAGCGCCUCGGCGCGUAAAGCCCUGUCAGCAGGGAAGAAAAUGACGGUACCUGAAGCAGAAGCCCCGGCUAACUACGUGCCAGCAGCCGCGGUAAUACGGAGGGGGCAAGCGUUAUCCGGAUUUACUGGGUGUAAAGGGGGCGCAGUCGGCGAUGCAAGCCAGGAGUGAAAGCCCGGGGCCCAACCCCGGGACUGCUCUUGAAACUGCGUGGCUGGAGUGCAGGAGGGGCAGGCGGAAUGCCUGGUGUAGCGGUGAAAUGCGUAGAUAUCAGGAGGAACACCGGUGGCGAAGGCGGCCUGCUGGACUGCAACUGACGUUGAGGCCCGAAAGCGUGGGGAGCAAACAGGAUUAGAUACCCUGGUAGUC
This 440-nucleotide ribosomal RNA is filed under the name uncultured bacterium. RNAcentral's name for it is "partial 16S ribosomal RNA". It matches the Rfam family "Bacterial small subunit ribosomal RNA", at positions 338 to 795 of the family's 1533-position model. The record is from RNAcentral.